This 473-nucleotide ribosomal RNA is filed under the name uncultured bacterium. RNAcentral's name for it is "bacterial SSU rRNA". It matches the Rfam family "Bacterial small subunit ribosomal RNA", at positions 335 to 802 of the family's 1533-position model. The record is from RNAcentral.
ACUCCUACGGGAGGCAGCAGUGGGGAAUAUUGGACAAUGGGCGAAAGCCUGAUCCAGCCAUGCCGCGUGUGUGAAGAAGGUCUUCGGAUUGUAAAGCACUUUAAGUUGGGAGGAAGGGUUGUAGCUUAAUACGCUGCAACUUUGACGUUACCAACAGAAUAAGCACCGGCUAACUCUGUGCCAGCAGCCGCGGUAAUACAGAGGGUGCAAGCGUUAAUCGGAAUUACUGGGCGUAAAGCGCGCGUAGGCGGCUUGAUAAGAUGGGUGUGAAAUCCCCGGGGCUUAACCUGGGAACUGCAUCCAUAACUGUCUGGCUAGAGUACAGUAGAGGUGGUGGAAUUUCCUGUGUAGCGGUGAAAUGCGUAGAUAUAGGAAGGAACACCAGUGGCGAAGGCGACCACCUGGACUGAUACUGACGCUGAGGUGCGAAAGCGUGGGAGCAAACAGGAUUAGAUACCCCUGGUAGACUGUCA